AUUGAACGCUGGCGGCAGGCCUAACACAUGCAAGUCGAGCGGAUGAAGGGAGCUUGCUCCUGGAUUCAGCGGCGGACGGGUGAGUAAUGCCUAGGAAUCUGCCUGGUAGUGGGGGAUAACGUCCGGAAACGGGCGCUAAUACCGCACACGUCCUGAGGGAGAAAGUGGGGGAUCUUCGGACCUCACGCUAUCAGAUGAGCCUAGGUCGGAUUAGCUAGUUGGUGGGGUAAAGGCCUACCAAGGCGACGAUCCGUAACUGGUCUGAGAGGAUGAUCAGUCACACUGGAACUGAGACACGGUCUAGACUCCUACGGGAGGCAGCAGUGGGGAAUAUUGGACAAUGGGCGAAAGCCUGAUCCAGCCAUGCCGCGUGUGUGAAGAAGGUCUUCGGAUUGUAAAGCACUUUAAGUUGGGAGGAAGGGCAGUAAGUUAAUACCUUGCUGUUUUGACGUUACCAACAGAAUAAGCACCGGCUAACUUCGUG
This 484-nucleotide ribosomal RNA is filed under the name uncultured bacterium. Its description in RNAcentral is "partial 16S ribosomal RNA". It matches the Rfam family "Bacterial small subunit ribosomal RNA", at positions 30 to 507 of the family's 1533-position model. The record is from RNAcentral.